CCUACGGGGGGCUGCAGUGGGGGAUAUUGCACAAUGGGGGAAACCCUGAUGCAGCGACGCCGCGUGUGGGAAGACGGUCCUCUGGAUUGUAAACCACUGUCCCCAGGGACUAAGAUGACGGUACCUGGGUAGGAAGCUCCUGCUAUCUACGUGCCAGCAGCCGCGGUAAUACGUAGGGAGCGAGCGUUUUCCGGAAUUACUGGGUUUAAAGGGAGCGUAGGCGGGACUGCAAGUUGGGGGUCAAAUCUACCGGCCAACCGGUAGCCGCACUCAAAACUGCAGUUCUUGAGUGAAGUAGAGGCAGGCGGAAUUCCUAGUGUAGCGGUGAAAUGCGUAGAUAGUAGGAGGAACACCAGUGGCGAAGGCGGCCUGCUGGGCUUUUACUGACGCUGAGGCUCGAAAGUGUGGGGAGCAAACAGGAUUAGAUACCCUUGUAGUC
This 439-nucleotide ribosomal RNA is filed under the name uncultured bacterium. RNAcentral's name for it is "partial 16S ribosomal RNA". It matches the Rfam family "Bacterial small subunit ribosomal RNA", at positions 338 to 795 of the family's 1533-position model. The record is from RNAcentral.